RNAcentral lists this ribosomal RNA (251 nucleotides) under uncultured bacterium. RNAcentral's name for it is "partial small subunit ribosomal RNA". It matches the Rfam family "Bacterial small subunit ribosomal RNA", at positions 26 to 288 of the family's 1533-position model. The record is from RNAcentral.
AGGACGAACGCUGGCGGCGUGCUUAACACAUGCAAGUCACGGGGGCCCGCAAGGGCAACCGGCGAACGGGUGCGUAACACGUGAACAACCUGCCCUCGUGUGGGGGAUAGCCAUGCUAACGCGUGGGUAAUACCGCAUACGUUCCCCUGGAGGAGUCUUUGGGGGAGGAAAGCUCCGGCGCACGGGGAGGGGUUCGCGGCCUAUCAGCUAGUUGGCGGGGUAAUGGCCCACCAAGGCGACGACGGGUAGCU